UUGUCGCGACAGUAAUCCAACUCAGUACGAGAGGAACCGUUGGUUCAGAUAAUUGGUUCAUGGGGUUGCCUGAACAGGCAGUGCCCCGAAGCUACCAUCUGUAGGAUUAUGACUGAACGCCUCUAAGUCAGAAUCCAUGCUGAAAAGCGACGAUAUUAACCUUACCCGAUAUGAAAAGAGUAAGAAUAG
RNAcentral lists this ribosomal RNA (189 nucleotides) under Symbiodinium sp. clade A. Its description in RNAcentral is "partial Eukaryotic large subunit ribosomal RNA". It matches the Rfam family "Eukaryotic large subunit ribosomal RNA", at positions 3008 to 3195 of the family's 3401-position model. Lineage: Eukaryota; Dinophyceae; Suessiales; Symbiodiniaceae. The record is from RNAcentral.